RNAcentral lists this transfer RNA (27 nucleotides) under Mylossoma duriventre. RNAcentral describes it as "partial tRNA-Phe". Lineage: Eukaryota; Metazoa; Chordata; Actinopteri; Characiformes; Serrasalmidae. The record is from RNAcentral.
GCUAGCGUAGCUUAAAUAAAGCAUAAC